This 253-nucleotide ribosomal RNA is filed under the name uncultured bacterium. RNAcentral's name for it is "partial 16S ribosomal RNA". It matches the Rfam family "Bacterial small subunit ribosomal RNA", at positions 524 to 776 of the family's 1533-position model. The record is from RNAcentral.
UACGGAGGGGGCUAGCGUUGUUCGGAAUUACUGGGCGUAAAGCGCACGUAGGCGGCUUUGUAAGUUAGAGGUGAAAGCCCGGGGCUCAACUCCGGAAUUGCCUUUAAGACUGCAUCGCUAGAAUUGUGGAGAGGUAAGUGGAAUUCCGAGUGUAGAGGUGAAAUUCGUAGAUAUUCGGAAGAACACCAGUGGCGAAGGCGACUUACUGGACACAUAUUCGACGCUGAGGUGCGAAAACGUGGGAGCAAACAGG